RNAcentral lists this transfer RNA (74 nucleotides) under Candidatus Moraniibacteriota bacterium. RNAcentral's name for it is "Candidatus Moranbacteria bacterium (sediment metagenome) tRNA-Pro". It matches the Rfam family "tRNA". From Rfam's summary of the family: Transfer RNA (tRNA) molecules are approximately 80 nucleotides in length. Their secondary structure includes four short double-helical elements and three loops (D, anti-codon, and T loops). The record is from RNAcentral. Lineage: Bacteria; Candidatus Moraniibacteriota.
CGGAGUGUAGUAUACCGGUAGUACGCGUGCUUUGGGAGCAUGUAGACAGGGUUCGAUUCCCUGCACUCCGACUA